Molecule: ribosomal RNA, 288 nt
Filed under: Triticum aestivum (bread wheat)
Lineage: Eukaryota; Viridiplantae; Streptophyta; Magnoliopsida; Poales; Poaceae
Description: partial small subunit ribosomal RNA
Source: RNAcentral
AUGGACCUCACUGAAAAUGAGCAGUAUACUGGUAUUUGGAAUGAUUCUCCAGUUGUGCUGCCUAGGUCCCACCUGAACUACAUCUCAGGAGCGUUGUUAACUCAGAUGCUACAACAGCAGCCGAACAUUCAAACAGUGCUCCCCACAUUACAUGAUGAAACAUCGAGCAGAAGACAACAAAGUAUGAGGAUAUUCAUAUGGCUCAGACAUCCAAGGAAGGAAUUAGCAGCAUUAGCUCUCAAGCCUGGCUGGGCGAAAGAUCUUAGGCGGCAUCUGCGAAUGUUUUGA